This 443-nucleotide ribosomal RNA is filed under the name uncultured bacterium. RNAcentral's name for it is "partial 16S ribosomal RNA". It matches the Rfam family "Bacterial small subunit ribosomal RNA", at positions 338 to 795 of the family's 1533-position model. The record is from RNAcentral.
CCUACGGGUGGCAGCAGUGGGGGAUAUUGGACAAUGGGGGAAACCCUGAUCCAGCGACGCCGCGUGAGUGAAGAAGUAUCUCGGUAUGUAAAGCUGUAUCAGCAGGGAAGAAAGAAAUGACGGUACCUGAGUAAGAAGCCUCGGCUAACUACGAGCCAGCAGCCGCGGUAAGACGUAGGGGGCAAGCGUUAUCCGGAAUUACUGGGUGUAACGGGAGCGUAGACGGUAAUGCAAGUCUGGAGUGAAAGGCGGGGGCCCACCCGCCGGAUUGCUCUGGAAACUGGGUGCCUGGAGGGCAGGAGAGGCAGGCGGAAUUCAUGGUGUAGCGGUGAAAUGCGUAGAUAUUAGGAAGAACACCGGUGGCGAAGGCAGCCUGCUGGACUGUAACUGACGUUGAGGCUCGAAAGCGUGGGGAGCAAACAGGAUUAGAUACCCCAGUAGUC